Molecule: non-coding RNA, 703 nt
Organism: Salvia hispanica
Lineage: Eukaryota; Viridiplantae; Streptophyta; Magnoliopsida; Lamiales; Lamiaceae
Source: RefSeq, a predicted model, not a curated record
UGCCAGAUUCAAUCGUAUCUUCAAAAUUUACUCUUUAAAUCAUGAAUAUUUUGUUUCCAAAGUCAUAUUCUCCGAAUCACGCAGCAUUAAUAUUGAGGAAUUGAUUCACGCUGUUCGAUUUUCGCCGAUCUCAUCAGCUUAUCGCGUUUUUCAUCUUCUCCGAGCUAUUUUAUUGUUGUCUUUAUUCAAUAAUGGCAGAUUUCUUUUUCGAUGAUGAGCGCAAUGCCAUCAACAAACUGCACACAAUAUACAAAUUAGUACAAAGAGCCGAGGACGACGUUGAGGAUGUUGGAAAUCAGCUUUUUGGUGAUGGUUCUUCUGUGAUGUGAGGCCUGAUGUUAUACAUGAUGUUGGAGAAAAAGAAGAGAUUUGAGGAAUUGUAUGGUGUUGUGAGGCCUGAUGACAUGCUCAUCCACCAAAUAUGGUGAAAUGUAAGGGAUCUAGAUCCAUGCUGCCUUCUCAGAUGGAGGCGGCGAAGAAGGCGGCAACUAAACCUCCUAGACGAUGUGGAAAAUGCUAUAAAAUGGUAUCAUGAUUCAAGGAAUUGCAGCAAAGAGAAGACAGAAAACAUAAAUAAAUCAAUUGUUCAUAUCACUAUUUAUCUGCAUACAUAAUUCCUUGUUUGGAUAUUCCUUAGCAUUCUUGGUUCCAUGUUGGUAUGGAAGAAUAAUAAUCUCAAAGUUAUGUUCUAAAUGUUAUCUCA